This 450-nucleotide ribosomal RNA is filed under the name uncultured bacterium. RNAcentral describes it as "partial 16S ribosomal RNA". It matches the Rfam family "Bacterial small subunit ribosomal RNA", at positions 354 to 796 of the family's 1533-position model. The record is from RNAcentral.
GUGGGGAAUUUUGGACAAUGGGCGCAAGCCUGAUCCAGCCAUUCCGCGUGCAGGAUGAAGGCCUUCGGGUUGUAAACUGCUUUUGUACGGAACGAAAAGCCUCUGGUUAAUACCCGGGGGUCAUGACGGUACCGUGAGAAUAAGCACCGGCUAACUACGUGCCAGCAGCCGCGGUAAUACGUAGGGUGCGAGCGUUAAUCGGAAUUACUGGGCGUAAAGCGUGCGCAGGCGGUGAUGUAAGACAGUUGUGAAAUCCCCGGGCUCAACCUGGGAACUGCAUCUGUGACUGCAUUGCUGGAGUGCGGCAGAGGGGGAUGGAAUUCCGCGUGUAGCAGUGAAAUGCGUAGAUAUGCGGAGGAACACCGAUGGCGAAGGCAAUCCCCUGGGCCUGCACUGACGCUCAUGCACGAAAGCGUGGGGAGCAAACAGGAUUAGAAACCCCGGUAGUCC